GGCUCAGGACGAACGCUGGCGGCGUGCUUAACACAUGCAAGUUGAACGGUAUGACAUGGAAGCUUGCUGAAGUGUCAUAUAGUAGCGACGGGUGAGUAAUGCAUGAGAAGCUGCCAUUGGGAGGGGACAACAGUUGGAAACGGCUGCUAAUACCCCGUAUGCCGGAGGGUGAAAAGGGGAGUAAUCCGCCCGAUGAGGUGCUCAUGUCCUAUCAGCUGGUUGGUGGGGUAACGGCCUACCAAGGCGACGACGGGUAGCCGGCCUGAGAGGGUGAACGGCCACACUGGAACUGAGAUACGGUCCAGACUCCUACGGGAGGCAGCAGUGGGGAAUAUUGGGCAAUGGGGGCAACCCUGACCCAGCGACGCCGCGUGGGGGAAGACGGCCUUCGGGUUGUAAACCUCUUUUGUACGGGAAGAAGGAAGUGACGGUACUGUACGAAUAAGUCCCGGCUAACUACGUGCCAGCAGCCGC
RNAcentral lists this ribosomal RNA (474 nucleotides) under uncultured bacterium. RNAcentral describes it as "bacterial SSU rRNA". It matches the Rfam family "Bacterial small subunit ribosomal RNA", at positions 21 to 518 of the family's 1533-position model. The record is from RNAcentral.